This 1092-nucleotide ribosomal RNA is filed under the name Salmonella enterica. Its description in RNAcentral is "bacterial SSU rRNA". It matches the Rfam family "Bacterial small subunit ribosomal RNA", at positions 1 to 1082 of the family's 1533-position model. Lineage: Bacteria; Pseudomonadati; Pseudomonadota; Gammaproteobacteria; Enterobacterales; Enterobacteriaceae. The record is from RNAcentral.
AAAUUGAAGAGUUUGAUCAUGGCUCAGAUUGAACGCUGGCGGCAGGCCUAACACAUGCAAGUCGAACGGUAACAGGAAGCAGCUUGCUGCUUCGCUGACGAGUGGCGGACGGGUGAGUAAUGUCUGGGAAACUGCCUGAUGGAGGGGGAUAACUACUGGAAACGGUGGCUAAUACCGCAUAACGUCGCAAGACCAAAGAGGGGGACCUUCGGGCCUCUUGCCAUCAGAUGUGCCCAGAUGGGAUUAGCUUGUUGGUGAGGUAACGGCUCACCAAGGCGACGAUCCCUAGCUGGUCUGAGAGGAUGACCAGCCACACUGGAACUGAGACACGGUCCAGACUCCUACGGGAGGCAGCAGUGGGGAAUAUUGCACAAUGGGCGCAAGCCUGAUGCAGCCAUGCCGCGUGUAUGAAGAAGGCCUUCGGGUUGUAAAGUACUUUCAGCGGGGAGGAAGGUGUUGUGGUUAAUAACCGCAGCAAUUGACGUUACCCGCAGAAGAAGCACCGGCUAACUCCGUGCCAGCAGCCGCGGUAAUACGGAGGGUGCAAGCGUUAAUCGGAAUUACUGGGCGUAAAGCGCACGCAGGCGGUCUGUCAAGUCGGAUGUGAAAUCCCCGGGCUCAACCUGGGAACUGCAUUCGAAACUGGCAGGCUUGAGUCUUGUAGAGGGGGGUAGAAUUCCAGGUGUAGCGGUGAAAUGCGUAGAGAUCUGGAGGAAUACCGGUGGCGAAGGCGGCCCCCUGGACAAAGACUGACGCUCAGGUGCGAAAGCGUGGGGAGCAAACAGGAUUAGAUACCCUGGUAGUCCACGCCGUAAACGAUGUCUACUUGGAGGUUGUGCCCUUGAGGCGUGGCUUCCGGAGCUAACGCGUUAAGUAGACCGCCUGGGGAGUACGGCCGCAAGGUUAAAACUCAAAUGAAUUGACGGGGGCCCGCACAAGCGGUGGAGCAUGUGGUUUAAUUCGAUGCAACGCGAAGAACCUUACCUGGUCUUGACAUCCACGGAAGUUUUCAGAGAUGAGAAUGUGCCUUCGGGAACCGUGAGACAGGUGCUGCAUGGCUGUCGUCAGCUCGUGUUGUGAAAUGUUGGGUUA